Long non-coding RNA from Prunus dulcis (almond), 321 nucleotides. RefSeq lists it as uncharacterized. NCBI's taxonomy places the organism in Eukaryota, Viridiplantae, Streptophyta, Magnoliopsida, Rosales, Rosaceae. The transcript is spliced from 3 exons. The record is from RefSeq and is a predicted model, not a curated record.
CUAGGGAUUGUAAGUCUCUCUCUCUCUCUCUCUGAAGAUAUGAUCAUGCAUGAAUAUGUAUAUGCUUAGUUUAACUGUAAAUGUUGAUGAAAAGAUGAAGUUUUGAACUUGAGGUGGUUGAUUAAAAAUCAAGAGUCUGUUGCACAUGGAUCACCCCGUUUCGGCUUUCUUUUCUUUCUCCCUAUCGGAUCUUUGAUCAGAAACAAGUCACUGGUAUCUCUCAUCUGGAUCAUGCUUGUUCUAAAGGUUUUUGAUCCAACUUGUCAUCAGUCUACACCAUAACAGCAAGCGCGUUCAAGAGGUCGAGGAUCCUCGGAAGGU